RNAcentral lists this ribosomal RNA (568 nucleotides) under Proteus mirabilis. Its description in RNAcentral is "bacterial LSU rRNA". It matches the Rfam family "Bacterial large subunit ribosomal RNA", at positions 643 to 1211 of the family's 2925-position model. Lineage: Bacteria; Pseudomonadati; Pseudomonadota; Gammaproteobacteria; Enterobacterales; Morganellaceae. The record is from RNAcentral.
AGGUUAACCGUAUAGGGGAGCCGUAGGGAAACCGAGUCUUAACUGGGCGAAUGAGUUGCAGGGUAUAGACCCGAAACCCGGUGAUCUAUCCAUGGGCAGGUUGAAGGUUGGGUAACACUAACUGGAGGACCGAACCGACUAAUGUUGAAAAAUUAGCGGAUGACUUGUGGAUGGGGGUGAAAGGCCAAUCAAACCGGGAGAUAGCUGGUUCUCCCCGAAAGCUAUUUAGGUAGCGCCUCGUGAAUUCAUCUUCGGGGGUAGAGCACUGUUUCGACUAGGGGGUCAUCCCGACUUACCAACUCGAUGCAAACUGCGAAUACCGAAGAAUGUUAUCACGGGAGACACACGGCGGGUGCUAACGUCCGUCGUGAAGAGGGAAACAACCCAGACCGCCAGCUAAGGUCCCAAAGUCAUGGUUAAGUGGGAAACGAAGUGGGAAGGCUCAGACAGCCAGGAUGUUGGCUUAGAAGCAGCCAUCAUUUAAAGAAAGCGUAAUAGCUCACUGGUCGAGUCGGCCCGCGCGGAAGAUGUAACGGGGCUAAACCAUGCACCGAAGCUGCGGCAGCGA